CUAACCAGCACACUCAGCUUCAUCAGAAGGAAACAUCUGCCAACCAGAAGAACCAGAUCCUGAUGAAUUCUGAAUAAGCAAGGAGUCUGUCUGGAAGAGAUGCGCGCUUCAGAAAAAGUUUUGCAUCCAGAUCCGGGAGAGAAUCACAGCGGUGCAACUCUGGAAGCAAGAAGACAAAUCAAUAGCUGUUUUUCCUGGACCAGCUCUCUUCUCUAUAGUCCACAGCGUCUCUGAUGAGGAGGUGGCAUCUGGAAGUAGUCUACAAAGCAGGACUUCGGACCCAGGUCUGAGCACCCUCUUCACUAGGACCUCAGUCAAGCUAUCCAGCCUUUUCUGUACGUGCAAAGGGGGUGAUAAAUGGGUCUGCCAUGAGGAUUGGGCUUCUUCUGAGGAGCCUCAGUUGACUGAUACAUGGACGUAUACAUGCUAUAUGCAGGCAUAGUUGUUAGUGUCAUAAUUAGACUUCCAUUGCCGUGAUAAAACACCAUGACUGGAGAAAAACCAGAGCAGGAGCUUCCGAGAAAUUACAAGGGUUAGAACUUUAAGAAGGUAGCAUGCACACUGUGAGCACUAAAUAACCCAGAGGUGCCUGGGACUCGAUGUGGGUACGACAGGGACAACUUCCGAAGCUAUUAAUUAAUCGAGGCAAGCCGAGUGCCGAACAGCGUUACUAGGAUACAGCCACAGAGAGUUGGGGUGCACAUCUGGGCACAACUGGAAGCCGAAGAUCAUUCCUCUUACAACUCGGCUUGGACAAAUGCCAGGCCCACCAGAGGCACUGAGGCCCGCGAGAUAAAGGCUCAGCCAGGAUCAGAGGGGCUCCAGAGAGUGUUCAAAAUGCCCCUGCGGAGGACUAAACGAAGCAACAGUGCUGAAGCCCAGGGGCACGUGACUCAGCCCAGCCAUCUCCAGCCAGGAGCCACAGUAUGUGCAGACCAUGUGCUGGUCUGAAGGUCUGUCCUCCUGCAGGGGCUUUAAGUGACUUGUCACAUCUUCCUCUCCCAGUAGUAGCUGUAUCUGCCUCUGCAGAUUUGACCGACCACAGAUCAAAAUUAUAAGGGAAAAGUUAAGCCCCGGAAGCACAUUUCUGUAACUCUAGCACAUGGGUGACAGAGGCAGGGAGGAGUAUAAAUUUAAGGCUAUACUGGACUACGUAGACUGGGACUCAAAAAAAUUACAAAGGAAAGUAUUAAUCUGCACUAAAUAUGAAUGGCCUUUUGUUCCUGU
Myodes glareolus (Bank vole) is the source of this 1227-nucleotide non-coding RNA. Lineage: Eukaryota; Metazoa; Chordata; Mammalia; Rodentia; Cricetidae. The record is from RefSeq and is a predicted model, not a curated record.